AGUGAACGCUGGCGGUAGGCCUAACACAUGCAAGUCGAACGGCAGCACAGUAAGAGCUUGCUCUUACGGGUGGCGAGUGGCGGACGGGUGAGGAAUACAUCGGAAUCUACUUUUUCGUGGGGGAUAACGUAGGGAAACUUACGCUAAUACCGCAUACGACCUGCGGGUGAAAGCAGGGGAUCUUCGGACCUUGCGCGAUUGAAUGAGCCGAUGUCGGAUUAGCUAGUUGGCGGGGUAAAGGCCCACCAAGGCGACGAUCCGUAGCUGGUCUGAGAGGGUGAUCAGCCACACUGGAACUGAGACACGGUCCAGACUCCUACGGGAGGCAGCAGUGGGGAAUAUUGGACAAUGGGCGCAAGCCUGAUCCAGCCAUACCGCGUGGGUGAAGAAGGCCUUCGGGUUGUAAAGCCCUUUUGUUGGGAAAGAAAAGCAGCAGGUUAAUACCCCGCUGUUCUGACGGUACCCAAAGAAUAAGCACCGGCUAACUUCGUG
RNAcentral lists this ribosomal RNA (492 nucleotides) under uncultured bacterium. RNAcentral describes it as "partial 16S ribosomal RNA". It matches the Rfam family "Bacterial small subunit ribosomal RNA", at positions 29 to 507 of the family's 1533-position model. The record is from RNAcentral.